UACGUAGGGUGCGAGCAUUGUCCGGAAUUAUUGGGCGUAAAGCGCUUGUAGGCGGCACGUCAAGUCGCGUGUGAAAUCCCCAGGCUUAACCUGGGAAGUGCGCGCGAAACUGACGAGCUUGAGUGCCGGAGAGGGUCGCGGAAUUCCCGGUGUAGAGGUGAAAUUCGUAGAUAUUGGGAAGAACACCGGUGGCGAAGGCGGCGCUCUGGACCGAGACUGACGCUGAGGCGCGAAAGCGUGGGGAGCAAACAGG
RNAcentral lists this ribosomal RNA (253 nucleotides) under uncultured bacterium. RNAcentral's name for it is "partial 16S ribosomal RNA". It matches the Rfam family "Bacterial small subunit ribosomal RNA", at positions 524 to 776 of the family's 1533-position model. The record is from RNAcentral.